Podarcis lilfordi (Lilford's wall lizard) is the source of this 1016-nucleotide non-coding RNA. The record is from the annotation of a GenBank genome assembly. NCBI's taxonomy places the organism in Eukaryota, Metazoa, Chordata, Lepidosauria, Squamata, Lacertidae.
CCAGGGUGCAUUGCUGGAAGAGGUGCAGUUGCGACUUGACCUCGAGGAGCAACACAUUGCACGCGGUGUGGUGGCCUUUCUGAGCUUUUUAAAGAGUUUGCUGGAUUUUUGAAGCUUUUCCAAAACUUCUUUUGCAGCUGUUUGGUAAGUUAAACUUUUAAAACUUUUUUGGGUUUUUUGGAUUUUGGGUUGGGGUGUUUAGAAUUCAAGGACUUGGUGUUGGGGAGGGGUUUGCAAGAAUCUGGGAGCUUGUGUGGUUUUUUUCUGCAUUUUUAUGAUUUUCUGUGACCAUUGGGCCAUGUUUUUUUUUUUAAAAAAAAAUCUGGCUUUGAAUUUUUGAAUUUCUGUGUGCUGGGUGGAUGGGGGAACAGCUGGGGAGGGGUUUGCAAGAAUCUGGGAGCUUGUUUGUUUUUUCUGCAUUUUUAUGAUUUUCUGUGACCAUUGGGCCAUGUUUAUUUUUUUAAAAAAAAUCUGGGUUUUGAAUUUCUGAAUUUCUGUGUGCUGGGUGGAUGGGGAACAGCUGGGGAGGGGUUUGCAAGAAUCUGGGAGCUUGUGUGGUUUUUUUUGAAUUUUUAUGGUUUUCUGUGACCAUUGGGCCAUGUUGUUUUUUUUUGAAAAAAAUUUCUGGGUUUUGAAUUUCUGUGUGCUGGGUGGCUGGGGGAACAGCUGGGGAGGGGUUUGCAAGAAUCUGGUAGCUUGUGUGGGGUUUCUUUUGCAUUUUUAUGGUUUUCUGUGACCAUUGGGCCAUGUUGUUGUUUUUUGAAAAAAAUUUCUGGGUUUUGAAUUUUUGAAUUUCUGUGUGCUGGGUGGCUGGGGGAACAGUUGAGGAGGGGUUUGCAACAGUUGGGGAGGGGUUUGCAACAGUUGGGGAGGGGCUGGGGGAACAGUUGAGGUUUUUGAAGACUUUGGUGAUUUUUAAAGCUUUCCCAAAACUUCUUUGCAGCCAUUUGAGGAUUUUGAAGACUUUGGUGAUUUGCAGCCAUUUCGUAAGUUAAACUUUUAAAACUUUUUGGGGG